UACAGAGGUCUCAAGCGUUGUUCGGAUUCAUUGGGCGUAAAGGGUGCGUAGGUGGCGGGGUAAGUCAGGUGUGAAAUCUCGGAGCUCAACUCCGAAACUGCAUUCGAUACUGCCGUGCUUGAGGACUGGAGAGGAGACUGGAAUUUACGGUGUAGCGGUGAAAUGCGUAGAUAUCGUAAGGAAGACCAGUGGCGAAGGCGGGUCUCUGGACAGUUCCUGACGCUGAGGCACGAAGGCCAGGGGAGCAAACGGG
This 253-nucleotide ribosomal RNA is filed under the name uncultured bacterium. Its description in RNAcentral is "partial 16S ribosomal RNA". It matches the Rfam family "Bacterial small subunit ribosomal RNA", at positions 524 to 776 of the family's 1533-position model. The record is from RNAcentral.